Molecule: transfer RNA, 65 nt
Filed under: Dipodomys ordii (Ord's kangaroo rat)
Lineage: Eukaryota; Metazoa; Chordata; Mammalia; Rodentia; Heteromyidae
Rfam family: tRNA
About the family: Transfer RNA (tRNA) molecules are approximately 80 nucleotides in length. Their secondary structure includes four short double-helical elements and three loops (D, anti-codon, and T loops). Further hydrogen bonds mediate the characteristic L-shaped molecular structure. tRNAs have two regions of fundamental functional importance: the anti-codon, which is responsible for specific mRNA codon recognition, and the 3' end, to which the tRNAs corresponding amino acid is attached (by aminoacyl-tRNA synthetases). tRNAs cope with the degeneracy of the genetic code in two manners: having more than one tRNA (with a specific anti-codon) for a particular amino acid; and 'wobble' base-pairing, i.e. permitting non-standard base-pairing at the 3rd anti-codon position.
Source: Rfam by way of RNAcentral
GGUGGUUCAGUGGUAGAAUGCUUGCCUUGCAUGCACGAGGCCCUGGGUUCAAUUCCUCAGCACCA